AAAUUGAAGAGUUUGAUCAUGGCUCAGAUUGAACGCUGGCGGCAGGCCUAACACAUGCAAGUCGAGCGGUAGCACAGAGAGCUUGCUCUCGGGUGACGAGCGGCGGACGGGUGAGUAAUGUCUGGGAAACUGCCUGAUGGAGGGGGAUAACUACUGGAAACGGUAGCUAAUACCGCAUAACGUCGCAAGACCAAAGUGGGGGACCUUCGGGCCUCAUGCCAUCAGAUGUGCCCAGAUGGGAUUAGCUAGUAGGUGGGGUAAUGGCUCACCUAGGCGACGAUCCCUAGCUGGUCUGAGAGGAUGACCAGCCACACUGGAACUGAGACACGGUCCAGACUCCUACGGGAGGCAGCAGUGGGGAAUAUUGCACAAUGGGCGCAAGCCUGAUGCAGCCAUGCCGCGUGUGUGAAGAAGGCCUUCGGGUUGUAAAGCACUUUCAGCGGGGAGGAAGGCGAUAAGGUUAAUAACCUUGUCGAUUGACGUUACCCGCAGAAGAAGCACCGGCUAACUCCGUGCCAGCAGCCGCGGUAAUACGGAGGGUGCAAGCGUUAAUCGGAAUUACUGGGCGUAAAGCGCACGCAGGCGGUCUGUCAAGUCGGAUGUGAAAUCCCCGGGCUUAACCUGGGAACUGCAUUCGAAACUGGCAGGCUAGAGUCUUGUAGAGGGGGGUAGAAUUCCAGGUGUAGCGGUGAAAUGCGUAGAGAUCUGGAGGAAUACCGGUGGCGAAGGCGGCCCCCUGGACAAAGACUGACGCUCAGGUGCGAAAGCGUGGGGAGCAAACAGGAUUAGAUACCCUGGUAGUCCACGCCGUAAACGAUGUCGAUUUGGAGGUUGUGCCCUUGAGGCGUGGCUUCCGGAGCUAACGCGUUAAAUCGACCGCCUGGGGAGUACGGCCGCAAGGUUAAAACUCAAAUGAAUUGACGGGGGCCCGCACAAGCGGUGGAGCAUGUGGUUUAAUUCGAUGCAACGCGAAGAACCUUACCUGGUCUUGACAUCCACAGAACUUUCCAGAGAUGGAUUGGUGCCUUCGGGAACUGUGAGACAGGUGCUGCAUGGCUGUCGUCAGCUCGUGUUGUGAAAUGUUGGGUUAAGUCCCGCAACGAGCGCAACCCUUAUCCUUUGUUGCCAGCGGUCCGGCCGGGAACUCAAAGGAGACUGCCAGUGAUAAACUGGAGGAAGGUGGGGAUGACGUCAAGUCAUCAUGGCCCUUACGACCGGGCUACACACGUGCUACAAUGGCAUAUACAAAGAGAAGCGACCUCGCGAGAGCAAGCGGACCUCAUAAAGUAUGUCGUAGUCCGGAUUGAGUCUGCAACUCGACUCCAUGAAGUCGGAAUCGCUAGUAAUCGUAGAUCAGAAUGCUACGGUGAAUACGUUCCCGGGCCUUGUACACACCGCCCGUCACACCAUGGGAGUGGGUUGCAAAAGAAGUAGGUAGCUUAACCUUCGGGAGGGCGCUUACCACUUUGUGAUUCAUGACUGGGGUGAAGUCGUAACAAGGUAACCGUAGGGGAACCUGCGGUUGGAUCACCUCCUUACCUUAAAGAA
RNAcentral lists this ribosomal RNA (1548 nucleotides) under Klebsiella pneumoniae. RNAcentral describes it as "bacterial SSU rRNA". It matches the Rfam family "Bacterial small subunit ribosomal RNA". Lineage: Bacteria; Pseudomonadati; Pseudomonadota; Gammaproteobacteria; Enterobacterales; Enterobacteriaceae. The record is from RNAcentral.